RNAcentral lists this ribosomal RNA (603 nucleotides) under uncultured bacterium. RNAcentral's name for it is "bacterial SSU rRNA". It matches the Rfam family "Bacterial small subunit ribosomal RNA", at positions 61 to 644 of the family's 1533-position model. The record is from RNAcentral.
GUCCACGUGAAGGGGAGCAAUCCCCCGGUAAGGUGGCGAACGGGUGAGUAAGACAUGGGAAUCUGCCCUGGAGAUGGGGAUAUCCUCCCGAAAGGGGGGCUAAUACCGAAUAUCGUCCGGGUUCCGGGAGGGAUCCGGGGAAAGGGAGGCCUCUGGCAACAUGCUUCCGCUCUGGGAGGAGCCCAUGGCCCAUCAGCUAGUUGGUAGGGUAACGGCCUACCAAGGCAAAGACGGGUAGCUGGUCUGAGAGGACGAUCAGCCACACUGGCACUGAGACACGGGCCAGACUCCUACGGGAGGCAGCAGUGAGGAAUUUUGCGCAAUGGGGGCAACCCUGACGCAGCAACGCCGCGUGUGGGAAGAAGGCUUUCGGGUUGUAAACCACUUUUGUAAGGGACGAAGUCCUGCCGGUCAAUACCCGGCGGGGAUGACGGUACCUUGCGAAUAAGCCACGGCUAACUCUGUGCCAGCAGCCGCGGUAAGACAGGGGUGGCAAGCGUUGUUCGGAGUGACUGGGCGUAAAGGGUCUGUAGGUGGUUUUUCAAGUCUUUGGUAAAAAGCCGUGGCUUAACCAUGGUGAGGCCAAGGAGACUGGGAGACUCG